GAGGGAAUCUUCGGCAAUGGACGAAAGUCUGACCGAGCAACGCCGCGUGAGUGAAGAAGGUUUUCGGAUCGUAAAACUCUGUUGUUAGAGAAGAACAAGGACGUUAGUAACUGAACGUCCCCUGACGGUAUCUAACCAGAAAGCCACGGCUAACUACGUGCCAGCAGCCGCGGUAAUACGUAGGUGGCAAGCGUUGUCCGGAUUUAUUGGGCGUAAAGCGAGCGCAGGCGGUUUCUUAAGUCUGAGGUGAAAGCCCCCGGCUCAACCGGGGAGGGUCAUUGGAAACUGGGGGACUUGAGUGCAGAAGAGGAGAGUGGAAUUCCAUGUGUAGCGGUGAAAUGCGUAGAUAUAUGGAGGAACACCAGUGGCGAAGGCGGCUCUCUGGUCUGUAACUGACGCUGAGGAUCGAAAGCGUGGGGAGCAAACAGG
RNAcentral lists this ribosomal RNA (429 nucleotides) under Gemmatimonadota bacterium. Its description in RNAcentral is "Gemmatimonadetes bacterium partial 16S ribosomal RNA". It matches the Rfam family "Bacterial small subunit ribosomal RNA", at positions 355 to 776 of the family's 1533-position model. The record is from RNAcentral. Lineage: Bacteria; Pseudomonadati; Gemmatimonadota.